UUUCAGAUAUCAAGCCUUCUUUCUUCAAGUAAUGGAGGGACAAUAGUGAUUGAAGAAGAGGCAAUGAAAAAUAAAUGGUAAAUUCAGAAGAAAAGGGUUGUUUUUUGGAUCAAACAUAUACUACAAUUUUAUGGUUUAGAGAUCCAAAGAAGAGAGGCUGCAUAUGCAUUCCCUCCCUUUGUCUCUCUGUUUUUCCUUUUGUCUUUCUCCCUCAACCUUUUUCUUCUUCUGUGCAAUACAUAUUUG
RNAcentral lists this long non-coding RNA (246 nucleotides) under Panax ginseng (ginseng). RNAcentral describes it as "long non-coding RNA (PGIN_LNC002836)". The record is from RNAcentral. Lineage: Eukaryota; Viridiplantae; Streptophyta; Magnoliopsida; Apiales; Araliaceae.